GUUUAGCAGGUUGACAGGAGUUGCAUCAGUUUCUGACAGAGGUUCCUGAAGAAAGUACUGCAAUUAAUCAACAUGAAAUUCGUACUCGUUCUUGCGAUGUUGUUGGCUGUAGCCUUCGCCCUUCCUACACCCAAUGAUGACCUGCAUGCACAAAUUAAAGCUAUUGGUGAGGCCAUCGAGAACAACCCGGAACUAGCCAAUGGAUGGUUGGGUGAUGCCUGGAACUGGGUUAAGAACAACAAGGACGCCCUCGGAACCAUUGCCAGUGGUAUUUUGAAUCUCAGCUGAAUGAAAUAAAACAAUUUCUUUAUAUUGGAGAAUGAAAAUAAAUGUGUUGUUGAUAAGCAAUACUUUAA
This is a long non-coding RNA of Wyeomyia smithii (pitcher-plant mosquito), 356 nucleotides long. RefSeq lists it as uncharacterized. Lineage: Eukaryota; Metazoa; Arthropoda; Insecta; Diptera; Culicidae. The record is from RefSeq and is a predicted model, not a curated record. The transcript has 2 exons.